This 190-nucleotide unclassified non-coding RNA is filed under the name uncultured Papiliotrema. Its description in RNAcentral is "sequence contains ITS2". The record is from RNAcentral. Lineage: Eukaryota; Fungi; Basidiomycota; Tremellomycetes; Tremellales; Tremellaceae.
AAUCUCAAUCCCAUCUGGUUUAUGAUCAGGUGUCGGACUUGGACGUGGGCGUCUGCCGGUUACACGGCUCGCCUCAAAUGACUUAGUGGGAUCGCUAGCAUCCGUGACAGACGUAAUAAGUUUCGUCUUGUCCCUUGCGUGCGUCAAGCCUGCUCAGAACCCCGCUUGCCUCUGUGCAACACUUUUUUGA